UUGCACGCUGGCGGCCGGCUUAACACAUGCAAGUCGAGCGGGGGAAGGUAGCUUGCUCCCGGACCUAGCGGCGGACGGGUGAGUAAUGCUUAGGAAUCUGCCUAUUAGUGGGGGACAACAUCUCGAAAGGGAUGCUAAUACCGCAUACGUCCUACGGGAGAAAGCAGGGGAUCUUCGGACCUUGCGCUAAUAGAUGAGCCUAAGUCGGAUUAGCUAGUUGGUGGGGUAAAGGCCUACCAAGGCGACGAUCUGUAGCGGGUCUGAGAGGAUGAUCCGCCACACUGGGACUGAGACACGGCCCAGACUCCUACGGGAGGCAGCAGUGGGGAAUAUUGGACAAUGGGGGGAACCCUGAUCCAGCCAUGCCGCGUGUGUGAAGAAGGCCUUAUGGUUGUAAAGCACGUUAAGCGAGGAGGAGGCUACUUUAGUUAAUACCUAGAGAUAGUGGACGUUACUCGCAGAAUAAGCACCGGCUAACUCUGUG
Molecule: ribosomal RNA, 484 nt
Filed under: uncultured bacterium
Lineage: Bacteria
Description: partial 16S ribosomal RNA
Rfam family: Bacterial small subunit ribosomal RNA
Source: RNAcentral